This 189-nucleotide unclassified non-coding RNA is filed under the name uncultured Cortinarius. RNAcentral describes it as "sequence contains ITS2". The record is from RNAcentral. Lineage: Eukaryota; Fungi; Basidiomycota; Agaricomycetes; Agaricales; Cortinariaceae.
AUAUAUCAAACUUCUCUCUUGUUGAGUUGUUUGGAUGUGGGGGUUUGCUGGCCUCUUGAAGGGGUAUUUCAGCUCUCCUGAAAUGCAUUAGCAGAGCAAACCUGUUCAUUGGUGUGAUAACUAUCUACGCUUUUGAAUGUGAAAGGGGAGCUAAGCUUUCUAACAGUCUUUGGACAAAAUUCAUCAUUA